AGCCCAUUAGCCACGAAUGGUCGACCGCUACUUUAUACAAGCAGCGAAGCCAAAACACAACCGCUGCGUGCUAGGGUUUUGCCGCCGCCACUCGCCGCCGUCCUCCCUAGCGUACCCCUCUUUUGCAGCAGUUGCCGUCGCCAUGUCUCGGAGGAAGAAGACGCGGGAGCCCAAGGAGGAGAACGUGACGCUUGACCCCGCCGUCCGUGAGGGCGAGCAGCCGAGCACGUCUUCGGCGUCGCACACAUCUUCGCGUCCUUCAAUGACACAUUCAUCCAUGUGACGGAUCUCUCCGGAAGGGAGACGCUCGUCCCAUCAUCACUGGUGGCAUGAAGGUUAAAGCUGAUCGUGAUGAGUCCUCAUCUUAUGCUGCGAUGCUUCCCUCACAGGAUGUUGCACAAAGAUGCAAGGAGCUUGGAAUCACAGCAUUGCACAUUAAACUCUGUGCUACUGGUGGAAACAAGACCAAAACCCCUGGCCCUGGUUUGUUAACCCGGAACUUCAUUGUGUACAUAGGAUGCUACUCGAUCCAGUCCCCACUGACAGCAACGCGCAGAAAGGGUGGUAGGAGAGGAAGGAGGCUGCAACUUCAAGUGUCAUGGCGCCCUGUCAGAUGUAGCGGUUCAAGUCUGUCUGCAUCUAAUAUACUCCUACUGAGGAAGUUUUUUGUUCUGUAUUGAAUGAAGUUUUGAGGUGUCAACUCUUGGACGUUUUCUGUUUAUAAUCGUUCUUGACAAAUUAUGUGGCAUUCAACAUAGCAAGGCACGAUUAAGGAGAAUCCACUUUUUUUUUGGUUGUUGUGAUAGUGGUUUCAAUUAUUA
Sorghum bicolor (sorghum) is the source of this 821-nucleotide long non-coding RNA. RefSeq lists it as uncharacterized. The transcript is spliced from 6 exons. NCBI's taxonomy places the organism in Eukaryota, Viridiplantae, Streptophyta, Magnoliopsida, Poales, Poaceae. The record is from RefSeq and is a predicted model, not a curated record.